This 457-nucleotide ribosomal RNA is filed under the name uncultured Desulfobulbus sp. Its description in RNAcentral is "bacterial SSU rRNA". It matches the Rfam family "Bacterial small subunit ribosomal RNA", at positions 930 to 1382 of the family's 1533-position model. The record is from RNAcentral. Lineage: Bacteria; Pseudomonadati; Thermodesulfobacteriota; Desulfobulbia; Desulfobulbales; Desulfobulbaceae.
CGGUGGAGCAUGUGGUUUAAUUCGAUGCAACGCGAAGAACCUUACCUGGUCUUGACAUCCCGGAGACCCUUAGGAAACUAGGGGUGCUUCCAUCUGGAAGAAUCUGGAGACAGGUGCUGCAUGGCUGUCGUCAGCUCGUGUCGUGAGAUGUUGGGUUAAGUCCCGCAACGAGCGCAACCCUUGCCUUUAGUUGCCAGCAGUUCGGCUGGGCACUCUAAAGGGACUGCCGGUGUUAAACCGGAGGAAGGUGGGGAUGACGUCAAGUCCUCAUGGCCUUUAUGACCAGGGCUACACACGUACUACAAUGGCCGAUACAAAGGGCAGCGACACUGCGAGGUGAAGCCAAUCCCGUAAAAUCGGUCUCAGUCCGGAUUGGAGUCUGCAACUCGACUCCAUGAAGUUGGAAUCGCUAGUAAUCGUGGAUCAGCAUGCCACGGUGAAUACGUUCCCGGGCCUU